UACAGAGGGGGCAAGCGUUGCUCGGAAUCACUGGGCUUAAAGGGCGCGUAGGCGGGCCACCAAGUCUGUGGUGAAAGCCUCCAGCUCAACUGGAGAAGUGCCGUGGAUACUGGUGGCCUCGAGGAGGGUAGGGGCAUCUGGAACAGUAGGUGGAGCGGUGAAAUGCGUUGAUAUCUACUGGAACUCCGGUGGCGAAGGCGAGGUGCUGGACCCUUUCUGACGCUGAGGCGCGAAAGCCAGGGGAGCAAACGGG
RNAcentral lists this ribosomal RNA (253 nucleotides) under uncultured bacterium. RNAcentral's name for it is "partial 16S ribosomal RNA". It matches the Rfam family "Bacterial small subunit ribosomal RNA", at positions 524 to 776 of the family's 1533-position model. The record is from RNAcentral.